RNAcentral lists this ribosomal RNA (618 nucleotides) under Pedicularis stenocorys. RNAcentral describes it as "eukaryotic LSU rRNA". Lineage: Eukaryota; Viridiplantae; Streptophyta; Magnoliopsida; Lamiales; Orobanchaceae. The record is from RNAcentral.
UGUCGAAUCCUGCAAAAGUAGAACGCGAACACGUUAAACCAUAUCGGGACCGCGGGUCUUUGGGAGACCUUUUGCCCGCGCCCAUCCCUCGCAUGGCGCGCGUCUAGGCGCGCGUGGUGCGGGCUAACGAACCCCGGCGCGACAAGCGCCAAGGAAAACUCAUAGAAGCGUCGGCCUCCUUUCGCCCCGUUCGCGGUGUGCGGUGGGUGAACCGAUGUCUCUCCAAUGUCAUAACGACUCUCGGCAACGGAUAUCUCGGCUCUCGCAUCGAUGAAGAACGUAGCGAAAUGCGAUACUUGGUGUGAAUUGCAGAAUCCCGUGAACCAUCGAGUCUUUGAACGCAAGUUGCGCCCGAAGCCAUUCGGCCGAGGGCACGUCUGCCUGGGCGUCACGCAUCGCGUCGCCUCCCACACCCAGACCCCAAGGGGUGAUUGGGCGGUGGGGGCGGAAAUUGGCCCCCCGUUCGAUUUUCCGCGCGGCCGGCCUAAAUUCGAACCCGUGGCGACUCACGUCACGACCAGUGGUGGUUGAACACUCAACUCUCGUGCUGUCUGUCGUGCCGUUUGAGUUGGCCRUUGGCUUCGUCGCAGACCCAAUGGCGCGAUCCUAUCGCGCCUU